Molecule: ribosomal RNA, 253 nt
Filed under: uncultured bacterium
Lineage: Bacteria
Description: partial 16S ribosomal RNA
Rfam family: Bacterial small subunit ribosomal RNA
Source: RNAcentral
UACGUAGGGUGCUAGCGUUGUCCGGAUUUAUUGGGCGUAAAGGGCUCGUAGGCGGUUUGUCGCGUCGGCUGUGAAAACCUGGGGCUCAACCCCGGGCCUGCAGCCGAUACGGGCAAACUAGAAUUCGGUAGGGGAGACUGGAAUUCCUGGUGUAGCGGUGAAAUGCGCAGAUAUCAGAAGGAACACCGGUGGCGAAGGCGGGUCUCUGGGCCGAUAUUGACGCUGAGGAGCGAAAGCGUGGGGAGCGAACAGG